CAAAAAAUAGUUUAAUACUAAAACAUUAAUUUUGGAGAUUAAAAUUAUAAAAUAUUAUUUUUUUGA
This 66-nucleotide transfer RNA is filed under the name Figites sp. ZJUH 20220010. RNAcentral's name for it is "tRNA-Pro". Lineage: Eukaryota; Metazoa; Arthropoda; Insecta; Hymenoptera; Figitidae. The record is from RNAcentral.